AUUGAACGCUGGCGGCAGGCCUAACACGUGCAAGUCGAGCGGAUGAAGGGAGCUUGCUCCUGGAUUCAGCGGCGGACGGGUGAGUAAUGCCUAGGAAUCUGCCUGGUAGUGGGGGAUAACGUCCGGAAACGGGCGCUAAUACCGCAUACGUCCUGAGGGAGAAAGUGGGGGAUCUUCGGACCUCACGCUAUCAGAUGAGCCUAGGUCGGAUUAGCUAGUUGGUGGGGUAAAGGCCUACCAAGGCGACGAUCCGUAACUGGUCUGAGAGGAUGAUCAGUCACACUGGAACUGAGACACGGUCCAGACUCCUACGGGAGGCAGCAGUGGGGAAUAUUGGACAAUGGGCGAAAGCCUGAUCCAGCCAUGCCGCGUGUGUGAAGAAGGUCUUCGGACUGUAAAGCACUUUAAGUUGGGAGGAAGGGCAGUAAGUUAAUACCUUGCUGUUUUGACGUUACCAACAGAAUAAGCACCGGCUAACUUCGUG
Molecule: ribosomal RNA, 484 nt
Filed under: uncultured bacterium
Lineage: Bacteria
Description: partial 16S ribosomal RNA
Rfam family: Bacterial small subunit ribosomal RNA
Source: RNAcentral